AAUUUUCUUUAGAUAUGAGAUUUAGAAAAGAUUUCAUGUUUGCAUUUGAUAUUGAGAUGUGAAAUUUAUUGAUAUGUGUUUGUGAAUAUUUUUGGUUGUUCGAAACUCUCAAAUCAAUCACACCUUCAUAUGCACCUUGAUCAACUGAGCAAAGUAGAUGGGCCCAAGCACAAACAAGUUGUAUGGUUUGAGAGUUUCGAAGCUCAAAGCUUCAGUCUUUAUAAGUCCUGGUCGACAUGUCAUUCCAAUGGCGAGGAGCUAGAAUGAGAAUGAAAGGGAGAAAAAUACACUAAAAUAUUUAUACAUCCCCACUUGGAAACCUGGUUUUUUAUUUAAAAGGAAAAAACCAAGCUCCAACUAAAAAAACAGAAAAAAAAGCAGCAAAAUGGGUGGCGAUUUGAAUGUGAAAAGGACUUCCUACAGCAUCGGUGCGGCGGCGGAGCUAAUGCUGCUACAACUUCCUGAUUCACAGCGAUCCUCAAGAAUGCAAGGAUCUAUUCCCUAUCAUACCGUACUAGUUUAUAUAUAUUUCAUAUCUCUAUCUAAUAGACAGCGAAAUUUUUAUUUUUGUUUGUUAGGUGGAGAAGCGUCUAGAAGAACCAA
Molecule: unclassified non-coding RNA, 603 nt
Filed under: Hevea brasiliensis (rubber tree)
Lineage: Eukaryota; Viridiplantae; Streptophyta; Magnoliopsida; Malpighiales; Euphorbiaceae
Source: RNAcentral